CGGGAUGUAGUUCAGUUUGGUAGAGCGCUCGCUUUGGGAGCGAGAGGUCGCAGGUUCAAAUCCUGUCAUCCCGA
Molecule: transfer RNA, 74 nt
Filed under: Nesterenkonia salmonea
Lineage: Bacteria; Bacillati; Actinomycetota; Actinomycetes; Micrococcales; Micrococcaceae
Also listed under: 3 other names
Description: Nesterenkonia sp. GY074 tRNA-Pro
Rfam family: tRNA
About the family: Transfer RNA (tRNA) molecules are approximately 80 nucleotides in length. Their secondary structure includes four short double-helical elements and three loops (D, anti-codon, and T loops).
Source: RNAcentral